AGUCGGCCCACCCUAACAGAAUUUUGCUUACCCGCGGACGCUAGAUUCGAAAAAGUUAUCUAGACAGCAUCAGCUGACGCCUGCAUAAAACAGAUUUCUCACUGCUGCUUUUAAACAAGGUUUAAAAGCAAACACAACUCGUGGUGCUUUUAAUUUCUUUCGAUUGUCUCCUUUUUCUUCUGAAAUUCACUUAUCACUUUCACGGCAGAUACAAACCAAGCAGACAGCCCUGAAACCAAUUGCUGUUUUCAUUCAAACUCAGAGAGAUGAAUAACAUCGGAGGUGUUUUCCUCGAGACAGAACGAGUAAAACCACAUCCUCCAUGCUGCACUUCACCCAAUUGUGAGUGCACGCUGGCUUUGCCUACCAGCAUAAUUGUGUGUGUAAUCUGUUUUUCUGGGUUUAUUGUGUUAAUGGUCAGGCAGACCAAACCUUUCACCGAUAAAAUGCAGAAAACCUCAGACUGUAUCACAUGGGCUGCUGCGAGUGCAACAACACCCAGCGCCUAAAACCUGCGAGACUUACUACUGCGGCUUUUAUGACACCGUAGUGUUCAGUCAUUUAACUAUUGUUUAUGUUUUCAGAGAAGCGCUGAUUAAUUAGAAUUAUAAUAACUAAGGCAGUAGGAAUCCUUGUCUCGGUCACAUGUGUGAAGGCCUCCAGCAUUAGGUUGCAUGAAGUCGUACAACUCUAUUCAUUUCAAUAGCCCAAAAUUGCAAAUUUGCUUCAGAGGGCUUUACAGUCUGUACACAAGUGACAUCCCCUGUCUGGAAACCCACACAUCAGAACAGGAAAAACUCCGCAAAAAAUGAACGGCAGAGGAGGAUCCCUCUUCCGGUUGCACAGAUUGCGAUAAAUGUCUGUACAGUAUGAACCACAUAAAAGAUGUACGAGUCCAAUUCAACAGACAUUCAAAUAUUGAAAGUAGUAAGCCAGGUGUACGGUAGGAACACUGCAGGGACAACCCCCAUCAGAUGUAACCACCAUCCACAGAAACCACAAAGACCUCAAGGUAGAAGCAAAGUCAGUAAUGCUGGCUCAUGAUGACAGUAACAGUACUAAUGGGACUAAUGAUGAUAUUAGAGGCGGUAGGUCUCAGCAGGGCCAUGACAGGAGGCAGGACUGGCAUUCAGAUAUAACCAUGACGUGUCGUAGUACUUUUACUGUUUUAUCCCAACUACUAGUGCCGCUAGCAGCCCACACACAAACAUCCCCCAAUUAACAAGAAUACGUUUCAGGAAAUCCCCUGCAAAGACAAUCUUCAACACACACAGUAACGAAAAGAAUUUACUUACGCCAUUUCCUCUAAGGUGCUUCCUAAUGGAUGUGAUUGCGCGGCGCACAGAAAAAUAAAAAUAUGAACUAUCGAUUUGUUGUGAAAAUAUACUGUCAACACCUUAUCUAAAAUGAAGUAAAGAAAUGCCUCAAAGGCAACAUGAUGACAUACAAUAUUAUUGUCAAACGGUAUGACCAAAAAAGCUUUUAAGCGCAUAUUCAGUGCAAUAAAGUGGAAAGAUGAACUACUUCUGCAAGUUUUUACCCAUUUCAUUAGUCUUUUUUUAUUGAUUAGAUCAAUGUAGCUAAAAAUAGUUCAGUCCGGAGAGACAUGUUAUUGAAACACAUUUCAACAUGUGUACAUAGUUAUUUCAUUAAAAGGUUGUUUAGAUAUAGAACUCAUGCCAUGCAAGUAAAGUUUCUCCAAGUGGACCGACCACAACAUGAGAAGGGUUGUACAAGCAAAUCACUGAUACUGAAGUUGUGGUACAAACUGACACUGGCAAAAUUAAAUCUUUCCUUGCUGAUCCACUGACUCCUUGGCGAUACACUUUGACCCUUCACCAAGUCUACACUGUUUUUAGUUUCGGAGGAGACCAAACACGACGUGUCAGGGAUGCGUGGAGGAGGCAGGACUCAAACGCAGACUUCUUGGAAAGCAAAAGACUUUAAUUGUCAAAAAGGCAAAAGCAAAAGGCCAAGGGGCAAAAACACACAGGAACCAGGGGAAAAACGGCAGACAGGAGCCACGAACAGCCACGACGAAAGACAAUGACGCGACAAGUGACACAAGAGACACACGGCUUAAAUACACAAGGGAGGUGCAGAUGAUUGGACACAGGUGGAAACUAUUAGAUGAUCGCCUCGGAGACACGGGAAACCUCCGGGGUCGGCGGCGGCAGCUCGGAGACACGGGAAACAUCCGGGGUAGUCGGCGGCAGCUCGGAGACACGGGAAACCUCCGCAGUCGGCGGCGGCUCAGGGACACGGAAAACCUCCGCAGUCGGCGGCGGCUCAGGGACACGGAACACCUCCGGGGUAGUAGUCGGCUCGGGGACACGGAACACCUCCGCAGUCGGCGGCGGCUCAGGGACACGGAAC
This is a long non-coding RNA of Gasterosteus aculeatus aculeatus (three-spined stickleback), 2376 nucleotides long. Lineage: Eukaryota; Metazoa; Chordata; Actinopteri; Perciformes; Gasterosteidae. The record is from Ensembl.